RNAcentral lists this ribosomal RNA (755 nucleotides) under uncultured Mycoplasma sp. Its description in RNAcentral is "bacterial SSU rRNA". It matches the Rfam family "Bacterial small subunit ribosomal RNA", at positions 28 to 776 of the family's 1533-position model. The record is from RNAcentral. Lineage: Bacteria; Bacillati; Mycoplasmatota; Mollicutes; Mycoplasmatales; Mycoplasmataceae.
GAUGAACGCUCGCUGUGUGCCUAAUACAUGCAUGUUGAACGGGAUGUAGCAAUACAUUCAGUAGCGAAUGGGUGAGUAACACGUACCUAACCUACCUUUAAGACUGGGAUAACUAUUGGAAACAAUAGCUAAUACCGGAUAUAGUUAUUUAUCGCAUGAUGAGUAAUAGAAAGGAGCUUCACAGCUUCACUUAAAAAUGGGGGUGCGGAACAUUAGUUAGUUGGUAGGGUAAUGGCCUACCAAGACGAUGAUGUUUAGCCGGGCCGAGAGGCUGUACGGCCACACUGGGACUGAGAUACGGCCCAGACUCCUACGGGAGGCAGCAGUAAGGAAUUUUCCACAAUGAGCGAAAGCUUGAUGGAGCGACACAGCGUGCAGGAUGAAGUUCUUCGGAAUGUAAACUGCUGUUAUAAGGGAAGAAAAAAUAGAAUAGGAAAUGAUUUUAUCUUGACGGUACCUUAUUAGAAAGCGACGGCAAACUAUGUGCCAGCAGCCGCGGUAAUACAUAGGUCGCAAGCGUUAUCCGGAAUUAUUGGGCGUAAAGCGUCCGUAGGUUUUUUGCUAAGUCUGGAGUUAAAUGCUGAAGCUCAACUUCAGUCCGCUUUGGAUACUGGCAAAAUAGAAUUAUAAAGAGGUUAGCGGAAUUCCUAGUGAAGCGGUGGAAUGCGUAGAUAUUAGGAAGAGUACCAAUAGGCGAAGGCAGCUAACUGGUUAUAUAUUGACACUAAGGGACGAAAGCGUGGGGAGCAAACAGG